AACGCUACUGUGAAUCCCCAGCAUGGCCACAGAGCUGGAACCAGGGAAUCAGAUAAGCAAGACAAGGAGAGCCCUCUUCUAUCCCUCCCCUCUGCAAAGUCUCCAUCUGUUAAAACCCCACUCGGGGUAUUGCAUAACCAGCUCGCAGAAUCAGCAGCACGCUCCUGUUUGCUCAUUCAUCUGUUAAUUCAUUCACUGAGUAAACACUGAUUAAAAACCUACUAUAUUGGACAUCCUUGGCUUUUGCCUACCCACCAUUCACAAACGGUACCCGCAUUUCCCUGGAAACCUGCAAUCUUUCCCUCAUUCUCAGUCUCUGUACCUGAGCAGGUGCAAGCUGCACCCAAUCUCCCUCAGGGGGAGGGCAUUUGAUCCAAGAUGGCCAAUCAGAGCGUCGCAUUUGCCUGCCACAGCGAUUGGUUCAGGGCUGUGCAUGUUACCCAGAAAAGACCAAUCAGAAAGACAGUUGGACUCAGUUCUAAGACUUGUUGAACUACUGGAACAGUGGCCUUUUUUUACCUCCUGCUAGAACCGCUGACAACCAUUUUGGACCACAAUCCACAAGAAAAGGGAGGCAGCGUUAAAGAUGGUGAAAAACUGUGUAAGCCUUGGCAACACUUUAAGCCUUGGAUCCUCCAGGCCUUAUGUUUCACUCCUAGAUUCUUCAAUUACAUAAACCAACAAAUCCCCUUUCUGCGGAAGCCAGUUCGAGGCGAGAUUCUGUUUCAAGGUCGACAGAAUCCUGACUAAUGAAAUCCGAAGUGCUGUGGUGUAUGCUGCAUGCUGGCUAUACACAGAUGAAGCAAGGUGAUCCAUACCAUCCUUCCAGGCACUCACAGGCUGAUGUGGAGACAGCCACAAACAAUUACAGCUAUUUAAAGCCAAUAAGAUAACUGCUUUAAUUAAAUACUACACAGUGCAAUAUGAGCACAGCAAAGCACCUGGGUCCAGGAAGGCCUCACAGAGCAAUGGCGAUUAAACCUAUUCCCUCUCUCUAUUCAGGCAGUGAAGAUGGAAUUACUAGUUGGAGGAGUCAGAUAACACUGUUGAUUCACAUUCAUCUUACAGUAAACUAAAACCAUUACAUCCCACGUUGCACAGAAGGGCGAUGAUACUUAAAGCUCUUAACAGCUCUCUCUGAGCCUACAAAAUACUGUCUCAAGAGACCAGCAAAGUGCUAAGGUCAAAUAACUCUCACUUGCAAGUGUUUCAUCUGAAUUGUGCAGAUAAUGGAACGCUCUUAAAUACUACCCAGGUCAGUUUUUGUGAUUUUGAUUCCAUACGCUUAAAUUUUCAUUCCAUCCUUCUUGACCAUUUGGAUUUCUUGUCCAUUUGUGUGCUGAUCACAUCACAACAGCAUCAAAACAGCCCUUUCAAGAUGAAUAACCUACUUACUGAAUUUAUUUCCAGAUGAUCAAGGGAAGGGGAAGAGAGAAAGUCUCUGGUUCUAUAAAACAUUUCCUGAUGGGUUAGAAAUGUGGCUGAUUGCAGAAAACAACAAUAACAACAAUAAAAAGCACCUCUGGGAACAUCUGUUUUGAGAAGAAAGGCCCCUAAAGGUCAGUCUUUUUAAGUGAACAGAAGCUGGUGUCUCUUAGUCCUUUGAUGAUGCAUACUCAACGGGAAAGUUGUAAAGAUAAAAUAAUUCAGGAAACGAGGACAUCGCAGGACAAAUUCUCCUUGCCUUUAUUGUUUCUAAACACAUCAGCAAUUCAUGUGGUCCAGAAACACAAGCUACAGCUUUCCAGAACAAAGAAUCUUACAGUUGGAAAAAUUAGUACUGACUGAAUACUUCCAUGUGGACUCAAGAGAGGUGCCAGGGACUAGUGUCAGGAGAGACGAAGUUAAGAUGCCUCUCAGAUAACUCAGAUUUCUAUGAAGCAGCUGGGUUACCCGUUUCCAAAACACCUUGCAGGCCGUCAUGGAAUUUCCCUUCCUCUACCUGCAUGCCACAGGACUUUGCACAACAAAGGUACCAUCCAUUUUCUUGAAAAUGGGAUUAUCGGGCCAAGCACAGUGGCUCACACCUGUAAUCCCA
Long non-coding RNA from Homo sapiens (human), 2038 nucleotides. Lineage: Eukaryota; Metazoa; Chordata; Mammalia; Primates; Hominidae. The record is from Ensembl.